CUUUGGGUGUGACUGCGUACCUUUUGUAUAAUGGGUCAGCGACUUAUAUUCUGUAGCAAGGUUAACCGAAUAGGGGAGCCGGAGGGAAACCGAGUCUUAACCGGGCGUUAAGUUGCAGGGUAUAGACCCGAAACCCGGUGAUCUAGCCAUGGGCAGGUUGAAGGUUGGGUAACACUAACUGGAGGACCGAACCGACUAAUGUUGAAAAAUUAGCGGAUGACCUGUGGCUGGGGGUGAAAGGCCAAUCAAACCGGGAGAUAGCUGGUUCUCCCCGAAAGCUAUUUAGGUAGCGCCUCGUGAAUUCAUCUCCGGGGGUAGAGCACUGUUUCGGCUAGGGGGCCAUCCCGGCUUACCAACCCGAUGCAAACUGCGAAUACCGGAGAAUGUUAUCACGGGAGACACACGGCGGGUGCUAACGUCCGUCGUGAAGAGGGAAACAACCCAGACCGCCAGCUAAGGUCCCAAAGUCAUGGUUAAGUGGGAAACGAUGUGGGAAGGCCCAGACAGCCAGGAUGUUGGCUUAGAAGCAGCCAUCAUUUAAAGAAAGCGUAAUAGCUCACUGGUCGAGUCGGCCUGCGCGGAAGAUGUAACGGGGCUAAACCAUGCACCGAAGCUGCGGCAGCGACACUGUGUGUUGUUGGGUAGGGGAGCGUUCUGUAAGCCUGUGAAGGUGUGUCGUGAGGCAUGCUGGAGGUAUCAGAAGUGCGAAUGCUGACAUAAGUAACGAUAAAGCGGGUGAAAAGCCCGCUCGCCGGAAGACCAAGGGUUCCUGUCCAACGUUAAUCGGGGCAGGGUGAGUCGACCCCUAAGGCGAGGCCGAAAGGCGUAGUCGAUGGGAAACGGGUUAAUAUUCCCGUACUUGGUGUUACUGCGAAGGGGGGACGGAGAAGGCUAUGUUGGCCGGGCGACGGUUGUCCCGGUUUAAGCGUGUAGGUGUGUGUUCCAGGUAAAUCCGGUUCACUUUAACACUGAGGCGUGACGACGAGGCACUACGGUGCUGAAGCAACAAAUGCCCUGCUUCCAGGAAAAGCCUCUAAGCAUCAGGUAACAUCAAAUCGUACCCCAAACCGACACAGGUGGUCAGGUAGAGAAUACCAAGGCGCUUGAGAGAACUCGGGUGAAGGAACUAGGCAAAAUGGUGCCGUAACUUCGGGAGAAGGCACGCUGACACGUAGGUGAAGUGAUUUACUCAUGGAGCUGAAGUCAGUCGAAGAUACCAGCUGGCUGCAACUGUUUAUUAAAAACACAGCACUGUGCAAACACGAAAGUGGACGUAUACGGUGUGACGCCUGCCCGGUGCCGGAAGGUUAAUUGAUGGGGUCAGCGCAAGCGAAGCUCCUGAUCGAAGCCCCGGUAAACGGCGGCCGUAACUAUAACGGUCCUAAGGUAGCGAAAUUCCUUGUCGGGUAAGUUCCGACCUGCACGAAUGGCGUAAUGAUGGCCAGGCUGUCUCCACCCGAGACUCAGUGAAAUUGAACUCGCUGUGAAGAUGCAGUGUACCCGCGGCAAGACGGAAAGACCCCGUGAACCUUUACUAUAGCUUGACACUGAACAUUGAGCCUUGAUGUGUAGGAUAGGUGGGAGGCUUUGAAGUGUGGACGCCAGUCUGCAUGGAGCCGACCUUGAAAUACCACCCUUUAAUGUUUGAUGUUCUAACGUGGACCCGUUACCCGGGUUGCGGACAGUGUCUGGUGGGUAGUUUGACUGGGGCGGUCUCCUCCUAAAGAGUAACGGAGGAGCACGAAGGUUGGCUAAUCCUGGUCGGACAUCAGGAGGUUAGUGCAAUGGCAUAAGCCAGCUUGACUGCGAGCGUGACGGCGCGAGCAGGUGCGAAAGCAGGUCAUAGUGAUCCGGUGGUUCUGAAUGGAAGGGCCAUCGCUCAACGGAUAAAAGGUACUCCGGGGAUAACAGGCUGAUACCGCCCAAGAGUUCAUAUCGACGGCGGUGUUUGGCACCUCGAUGUCGGCUCAUCACAUCCUGGGGCUGAAGUAGGUCCCAAGGGUAUGGCUGUUCGCCAUUUAAAGUGGUACGCGAGCUGGGUUUAGAACGUCGUGAGACAGUUCGGUCCCUAUCUGCCGUGGGCGCUGGAGAACUGAGGGGGGCUGCUCCUAGUACGAGAGGACCGGAGUGGACGCAUCACUGGUGUUCGGGUUGUCAUGCCAAUGGCACUGCCCGGUAGCUAAAUGCGGAAGAGAUAAGUGCUGAAAGCAUCUAAGCACGAAACUUGCCCCGAGAUGAGUUCUCCCUGAGACUUAGAGUCUCCUGAAGGAACGUUGAAGACGACGACGUUGAUAGGC
Molecule: ribosomal RNA, 2297 nt
Filed under: Salmonella enterica subsp. enterica serovar Enteritidis
Lineage: Bacteria; Pseudomonadati; Pseudomonadota; Gammaproteobacteria; Enterobacterales; Enterobacteriaceae
Description: partial 23S ribosomal RNA
Rfam family: Bacterial large subunit ribosomal RNA
Source: RNAcentral